Molecule: long non-coding RNA, 966 nt
Filed under: Phoenix dactylifera (date palm)
Lineage: Eukaryota; Viridiplantae; Streptophyta; Magnoliopsida; Arecales; Arecaceae
Description: long non-coding RNA (PDAC_LNC005669)
Source: RNAcentral
UUUGAUUUGUUUGCUGCUUUGUUUAUCAUAUGAUUCCAAUGAUAGGGGUUAGCUAGAUAGUGGUUUGAGUUAGGGAGUGCACCUAUGAGCAUACUCUUUUCUGGUAAGCUAAAAGGAUACCCGUUACGUGCCUAGGACCAAUAGAAAUUGUUACUAUUCAAAUUUCCAUGAGCUGCUAUUCUCCGGAAUUGAUUAUGACAUGACUGUACAGUUUCGAAAGACAACAUCAAAGGUAGCUCUAAACUACAGCAUUUGGCAAAUGAUAUACCUAGGAUAAACCCAACUCUUGAUAGUCAACAGAAGGGUGGACAAUAAUGAUUGUGAUAUGGCUUUAUUAUGGCUUUGUUGAUUCUGCCUACUGUUAAGUAACAUAACCACAUCUACCAUCAAUAUAAAAGAUUAUAUGAAAGAAUAUGAAAGAAUAUGAAAGAUUAUAUGAAAGAUUAUAUUUUCCAAAAGCACAAAGAAAGUGGUAACAUCUGACCCGGACCCGACCCGAACCUGGACCCGAUCCGAACCUGACUCGGACCAGACACGACCCAAUCCGAAUGACCCGUUGGGUCAAAAAUUAUAAUCAUGGACCCGACCCGACCCGACCCAAUAUUUAAUUAGGUUGGGUCUGGAUCCAAAAUUAGGAUCCGAAUAAAAAAUCGGGUCGGGUUAGGGUCACUCAAGACUCGAUCCGACUCGACCCAUUUGCACCCCUACAUACAAACAUAAUAUAUUACCUCAAAUUGAGGCUGGUAGAUUCCUUAUUGAGCAUAUAUACAAAUUUAUCUAAUGCACUCCAGACCCAACUUUGUCUGUAUAUUUGAUCUUGAGAAGACCAUCCACAAUUGACUCAAUCAAAGCACAAGAACAUAUCAAAUAUAUCUGCAUAGACCUCUUAGGUCAAACGAUAUAUAAACUAAUUGUGUUGAAUAUUCUUCUCAACAUCAAUGAUUACUUUCAGAAGGUAUUCAUAUU